AGUUCCAGGGAAAAGCAAAACUUGUUCGAGAAAGGAAAGAUAAAUAUGGUAUACCACAUGACCUACUUGUUGAGAAUGUAAUGAGCUAAUUUGAAGAAGCCAGGCGCUUUUCUUUUCCCCUCCCCAAGACUGCCUUUAUCUGAAAGAAGAAAGAAAGAACUGUUACAUUUUGCAUGCAAAGAAAGCCUGAGUGGCUAGAUUACUCCCUCAGGGCAAUGGAAAACUGAAAAAGAAAUUGAAAAGGGUCAGGCAAACACGGCAGAAACAAUGAAGAGAGAUUGCUUGGAAUGUCACAUCUCAAUAAGCUUUAAGAAAAGCUGGAAUUAAAAGUUCGUUUUUAAAAGAAGGCAGAAAAAACAAGAGUUCUGAGGGGCGGAUAAAAUAGUUAAUGUUCUUUUGGUCACACCAAUUUGAGGGGGUAGGUUUGAAAAAACAAGCAAAAUCUGUCACUCUGAAUGAAUGACAGAACCUCAUCACCAGUAAGGAAUCGAUGGCAUAAUCCAGAUGAGAAAUGUUAAUAACGUGGACUAGAGUGGCAGCAAUAGAGACUGAAUUUGGGAUAUAGGCCGGAAAGAUAUAUUGUUGGGAGCAUAGAGUCAUCCACAUGAAGAACAACCCUGUUUCCUGGGCUGGAGUUUAGAAUCAGCUCACCACUGGAUUGCACCAGCCAACAGAAAAACAUGGAAUGCUUCAGGAAUUGGCAUGUCAUCUUCACAGAGGGCCAUGCUAAUCUCCUCUGUACUGUUCCAGUUUCAGUAUAUGUGCUGUCAAAGCCAGCACCAGCCGUAGUAUUUUGACUGGUUUCUGAUGUUGGGCCUUCUUGGUCACCUGUGGCAAUUGAGAGUCCAGCAAUGGGUGGGAUGAUAA
Molecule: long non-coding RNA, 867 nt
Organism: Myotis myotis
Lineage: Eukaryota; Metazoa; Chordata; Mammalia; Chiroptera; Vespertilionidae
Exons: 6
Source: RefSeq, a predicted model, not a curated record